Molecule: ribosomal RNA, 497 nt
Filed under: uncultured bacterium
Lineage: Bacteria
Description: partial 16S ribosomal RNA
Rfam family: Bacterial small subunit ribosomal RNA
Source: RNAcentral
GAUGAACGCUGGCGGCGUGCCUAAUACAUGCAAGUCGAGCGAACGGACGAGAAGCUUGCUUCUCUGAUGUUAGCGGCGGACGGGUGAGUAACACGUGGAUAACCUACCUAUAAGACUGGGAUAACUUCGGGAAACCGGAGCUAAUACCGGAUAAUAUUUUGAACCGCAUGGUUCAAAAGUGAAAGACGGUCCUGCUGUCACUUAUAGAUGGAUCCGCGCUGCAUUAGCUAGUUGGUAAGGUAACGGCUUACCAAGGCAACGAUGCAUAGCUGACCUGAGAGGGUGAUCGGCCACACUGGAACUGAGACACGGUCCAGACUCCUACGGGAGGCAGCAGUAGGGAAUCUUCGGCAAAGGGCGAAAGCCUGACGGAGCAACGCCGCGUGAGUGAUGAAGGUCUUCGGAUCGUAAAACUCUGUUAUUAGGGAAGAACAUAUGUGUAAGUAACUGUGCACAUCUUGACGGUACCUAAUCAGAAAGCCACGGCUAACUACGUG